GGCCAUCAACAUCAGAGUGGCCGUUAUGCUGCGUGGGUCAGAUCUAUCAGAUAUUCUCCCAUUUUUCCUGGGCAAGGAAUCCUUUGUGGGCUUUUCCUACUGAGUCAUCAGAUAACUGUCAUCCUACAGGAUAUUGUAUUUGAAUUACAGCCAGAGCCAGCUGCUUGUCUCUUGAUAUCCCUGUAAAUUACUUUAGAGAAAUUAUAAUGUCCUG
Pelobates cultripes (western spadefoot toad) is the source of this 214-nucleotide non-coding RNA. Lineage: Eukaryota; Metazoa; Chordata; Amphibia; Anura; Pelobatidae. The record is from the annotation of a GenBank genome assembly.